RNAcentral lists this ribosomal RNA (466 nucleotides) under uncultured bacterium. RNAcentral's name for it is "partial 16S ribosomal RNA". It matches the Rfam family "Bacterial small subunit ribosomal RNA", at positions 28 to 507 of the family's 1533-position model. The record is from RNAcentral.
GAUGAACGCUGGCGGCGUGCUUAACACAUGCAAGUCGAACGAUGAAGCCCAGCUUGCUGGGUGGAUUAGUGGCGAACGGGUGAGUAACACUUGAGUAACCUGCCCUUAACUCUGGGAUAAGCCUGGUAAACUGGGUCUAAUACCGGAUAGGAGCGUCCACCGCAUGGUGGGUGUUGGAAAGAUUUAUCGGUUUUGGCUGGACUCGCGGCCUAUCAGCUUGUUGGUGAGGUAAUGGCUCACCAAGGCGACGACGGGUAGCCGGCCUGAGAGGGUGACCGGCCACACUGGGCCUGAGAGACGGCGCAGACUGCAACGGGAGGCAGCGGUGGGGAAUAUUGCACAAUGGGCGCAAGCCUGAUGCGGCGGCGCCGCGUGAGGGAUGACGGCCUUCGGGUUGUAAACCUCUUUCAGUAGGGAAGAAGCGAAAGUGACGGUACCUGCAGAAGAAGCACCGGCUAACUACGUG